Molecule: RNA transcript, 1097 nt
Organism: Zea mays
Lineage: Eukaryota; Viridiplantae; Streptophyta; Magnoliopsida; Poales; Poaceae
Gene name: ribosome protein S4 superfamily pseudogene
Exons: 3
Source: RefSeq, marked validated
UGUGUAGUUGCUGUUACUUUUAACAGCUAAUGCAAUCUGGAUGAGUCACCUAUGAAUGCCAUACUGGAAUCUGUUGCGCUUUUGUUGAUCAUUAUUAUUUUGCAAUCCAGGCUAGGGGAUCGAAGAAGCACUUGAAGAGGCUCAAUGCGCCCAAGCAUUGGAUGCUCGACAAGCUUGGCGGAGCUUUUGCUCCCAAGCCAUCUUCUGGAUCUCACAAGUCCAAGGAGUGCCUGCCUCUGAUCCUCAUCAUCAGGAACAGGCUCAAGUAUGCACUGACGUACCGUGAGGUCAUUUCUAUCCUGAUGCAACACCAUGUACUUGUUGAUGGCAAGAUGUCAUUUCCAUCCCUAAGACAAACGAGAACUACAGGCUGCUUCCGUCUUCACCCAAUCAGGGAUGAGGAUGCCAAGGUUAGGCCAAUUCUCUUACACAUCAUCUCUCAUUGUUCUAGUUGAGCAUGAUGAUCUUGGUAGCUGUGUGAGGUUACUGUUUUUCAUUAGUAGAUCUGUGUACCUUAUCCUUGCUAUACUGUCCAUAUAUGAUGUGUGCAUGAAAGUCUUGCAUUGAAAAUGUCAUGUGCUACAAUCGUUAGGACUAUUAUUAGAUGUUGCUCUGUCUAUCUAUCCAUUUACAUCGCUGGAAAUUCCCAUGCCCUUUCAUAGUACGCCUGUGAAAUGCUCACUGCUUUUCUAUUGGUUUGUGUGCAGUUCAUGCUCUGAAAUAUGAGGUCUGUUCAGUUUGGCCAGAAAGGCAUCCCCUACCUGAACACCUACGACGACCGCACCAUCCUCUACCCCGACCCGCUCAUCAAGGCCAAUGACACCAUCAAGAUCGAUCUGGAGACCAACAAGAUCAUGGACUUCAUCAAGUUUGACGUCGACAACGUUGUCAUGGUGACCGGCAAGAGGAACACCGGGCGUGUAGGAGUGAUCAAGAACAGGGAGAAGCACAAGGGCAGCUUCGAGACCAUCCACGUGCUGCUUGGAGCUUUUUGCUAUGUCUAGUUUUCUUCUAUUUGUUGUACAGGAAAACAUAGAAUGAAAUUCAAAUUUGGUGGCCGCAAAAGUGUAGAGACUUGAUUUCAUAUAAAGUUAGGC